AGAGUUUGAUCCUGGCUCAGGAUGAACGCUGGCGGCGUGCCUAAUACAUGCAAGUCGAACGCUUUGUUUUUAAUUGAUAUGAAGAGCUUGCCCUGAUUUGAUUUUAUCUGACAAAGAGUGGCGAACGGGUGAGUAACACGUGGGUAACCUACCUCUUAGCAGGAGAUAACAUUUGGAAACAAGUGCUAAUACCGUAUAACACUAACAACCGCAUGGUUGUUAGUUGAAAGAUGGUUCUGCUAUCACUAAGAGAUGGACCCGCGGUGCAUUAGCUAGUUGGUAAGGUAAUGGCUUACCAAGGCGAUGAUGCGUAGCCGAGUUGAGAGACUGAUCGGCCACAAUGGGACUGAGACACGGCCCAUACUCCUACGGGAGGCAGCAGUAGGGAAUCUUCCACAAUGGGCGCAAGCCUGAUGGAGCAACGCCGCGUGUGUGAUGAAGGGUUUCGGCUCGUAAAACACUGUUAUAAGAGAAGAACGACAUUGAGAGUAACUGUUCAGUGUGUGACGGUAUCUUAUCAGAAAGGAACGGCUAAAUACGUGCCAGCAGCCGCGGUAAUACGUAUGUUCCAAGCGUUAUCCGGAUUUAUUGGGCGUAAAGCGAGCGCAGACGGUUAUUUAAGUCUGAAGUGAAAGCCCUCAGCUCAACUGAGGAAGGGCUUUGGAAACUGGAUAACUUGAGUGCAGUAGAGGAAAGUGGAACUCCAUGUGUAGCGGUGAAAUGCGUAGAUAUAUGGAAGAACACCGGUGGCGAAAGCGGCUUUCUGGACUGUAACUGACGUUGAGGCUCGAAAGUGUGGGUAGCAAACAGGAUUAGAUACCCUGGUAGUCCACACCGUAAACGAUGAGUGCUAGAUGUUCGAGGGUUUCCGCCCUUGAGUGUCGCAGCU
This 889-nucleotide ribosomal RNA is filed under the name uncultured bacterium. RNAcentral's name for it is "bacterial SSU rRNA". It matches the Rfam family "Bacterial small subunit ribosomal RNA", at positions 8 to 853 of the family's 1533-position model. The record is from RNAcentral.